CCUACGGGAGGCAGCAGUGAGGAAUAUUGGUCAAUGGGCGAGAGCCUGAACCAGCCAAGUAGCGUGAAGGAUUACUGCCCUAUGGGUUGUAAACUUCUUUUAUAUGGGAAUAAAAUGUUCCACGUGUGGGAUUUUGUAUGUACCAUAUGAAUAAGGAUCGGCUAACUCCGUGCCAGCAGCCGCGGUAAUACGGAGGAUCCGAGCGUUAUCCGGAUUUAUUGGGUUUAAAGGGAGCGUAGGUGGAUUGUUAAGUCAGUUGUGAAAGUUUGCGGCUCAACCGUAAAAUUGCAGUUGAUACUGGCAGUCUUGAGUACAGUAGAGGUAGGCGGAAUUCGUGGUGUAGCGGUGAAAUGCUUAGAUAUCACGAAGAACUCCGAUUGCGAAGGCAGCUCACUGGACUGCAACUGACACUGAGGCUCGAAAGUGUGGGUAUCAAACAGGAUUAGAUACCCUUGUAGUC
This 460-nucleotide ribosomal RNA is filed under the name uncultured bacterium. RNAcentral's name for it is "partial 16S ribosomal RNA". It matches the Rfam family "Bacterial small subunit ribosomal RNA", at positions 338 to 795 of the family's 1533-position model. The record is from RNAcentral.